Molecule: non-coding RNA, 4054 nt
Organism: Doryrhamphus excisus (bluestripe pipefish)
Lineage: Eukaryota; Metazoa; Chordata; Actinopteri; Syngnathiformes; Syngnathidae
Source: RefSeq, a predicted model, not a curated record
GGAAUGUCUUGCUGCGCUAAAGACCAUGAUGCCAAACGCAGCGGACGAGCGGGAUGAGCAGGAUGACGUUCCUGCCUAUCAGGCUGACCUUUCCGGCGCCCCAGCACUGCCGGCCUUUGAAGCACCCCAGUUGAGUCCGGACUUUGUGAGGAGGAUGUACUGCAGUCUUAACAUCAUGCAGGCUUCCGUCUUCUAUGCCGUACGCAACUGGUGUUUGCAGCGCGUUUCUGAUCGCGACCUUGAGCCCUUUCAUUAUUUCAUCUCAGGGGGAGCUGGAUGUGGCAAGUCGCAUGUCAUCAAGUGCAUUUACCAGGAGGCCACCAAGAUUUUUCGGCAGCUUCCUGGCAUUCGUACCGAUGCGGAUUUGUCUCAGCCCACGGUUCUGUUGACGUCAUUUACCGGCACAGCUGCGUUCAAGAUUUCUGGGAAAACCUUGCACUCGGUCUUGAAGCUCCCAAGAAGUUUGAGGCCUCCAUAUCAAGGACUCGGCAACGCGCUGGACACCUUGCGGGCGAGUCUUUCCAACGUGCAGAUUUUAAUCAUUGAUGAAAUAUCAAUGGUCUCCAAGGAUCUUUUUGCGUAUGUCCACUGGCGGUUCCAGCAAGUCAAGGGCAACCGGAAGACCUUUGGAGGGAUCUCUGUGCUUGUAGUUGGGGACUUUUACCAGCUGCCACCUCUUGGAAGGGCCAAACCCCUCUGUGUGUAUGAGGAUAAUGUCCUUGACCUCUGGACCAACUUUCAGUUGGUCCGACUUACGGAGAUCAUGCGACAGAAGGAGGACCUGACCUUUGCCCAGCUUUUGAACAGGGUAAGGGAAAAGCGGAAGGAGGAGCCCUUGUAUGAAAGUGACCGGGCUUUACUGCAGCAGGCUACUGUCGAAACAUCGCAGUGUCACACCAGUACGCUCCACAUUUUUGCAACCAAUAAGGAGGUUGACGAACACAACCGUGCAACUGUGGCAGCUUUGAAACUGAAUGUGGUCGACAUUCCGGCAGAAAACUACAGAAAAGACCCCCGGACGGGACAAUUGGUCAUCGUGUCCAACAUGAUAACCGGGAGGAAAAGAGAUCUGCCCGACAACCUGCAAGCCGCUGUAGGAGCACGAGUCAUGAUCAUCCGGAACUUGGACAUUGAGGAUGGUCUCGUGAACGGCACCUUCGGGACCAUCAUGAACAUUGUCCGUGGACCACAGGGCGCUGUUACUUUUCUUGGCAUUUCUUUGGACAACCCUGGAGCAGGCCUGAAAUUUCGGAAGAAACUUCAGGGAUCCGGGGACGAUUUGGCCUACAUAGAAAAGUCAGAGGAAAGUUUAAGCAUCAAAGGACUGGUGAGGCGGCAAUUCCCGGCAAAACUGGCCUUUGGAUGCACGGCGCACAAAGUGCAAGGCAUGACGCUAUCUUCUGCGGUCGUAUCUCUGAAGCGCGUGUUUGAACCUGGAAUGGCCUACGUCGCUCUAAGUCGCACGACCUCGCUCCAGGGACUGAAGAUCAUGGACUUGGAUGAGAAGAAAAUAUAUGCUGAUCCCACCAUUGCUUUGGCAAUGGACAGCAUGUUGCACGCUUCUUUCUUGUCUGUCAGACCGCUGUUGCACUUUGCACAAGGGCCUUCUCCGACUUUGAAGAUUGUCCACCAUAACACAGAGGGCCUCGCGUGUCACAUGGAGGACAUCAAAUCUCAUCAUGAGCUGAGACUGGCUGAUGUGCUUUGUUUGACGGAAACCCAUUUGUCUGGUUCCAUCUCGCCGCACUUGCAGCUGGAGGGCUACGCUGUUUUUGUACGGAACAGACGUGUUUCCUACUUAAACAGGCCAGACAUGGCUGCGAAAGAGGGAGGCGGAGUUGCAGCCUACUGUCGGAGGGAACUUCAAGGCCAGCCCCUUCGGUUUGUCCAGAAUGUGCCAGACCUUGAAUUCUUGGUGGUUAAAGUCAUGGUGCCGAUCACGGCUGUGGUGGCUACUGUUUAUCGACCACCGAACUUGAGUCUGGGCACAUUUCUACCUAAUUUGACAAACCUCUUGGACACCUUGGCAAUGAUGGAAAGCCACCCCAUUGUUGUUUGUGGCGACUUCAACGAGGACCUGCUUUCGAAACGUAAGAAGCCUAUACUGGAGUUGUUUGAGUCCAGAGGCUAUACUCAGCUCAUCGGCAAGGCAACAACUGGCAAGCAGACACUGAUUGAUCACAUUUACAUUUCUCAACCGCAGUCUUGCAUUCAGUCAGGUGUUCUGCAUUCUUACUACAGUUACCACAGUCCGGUGUACUGUAUCUUAACAUCUUUGUAGGCCCUGGUCUGGUCUACACAUGCUGUCUUGUCCCCAAUGAACAUUUGCUUGCAAUGACCAUGUGGCCAUUUCUUCCCCUCCAUCCAUCCACGCCGUCUCACAUACGUAAGUACUCCGUGCUUGUGACCUGAAGGCUAGGUAUGCUGUACCUCUGCUCAUGGGCUGCCUUUCAGAAAUGCUGCUGCACAUGCUUUAGCCCCAACCGGAAGAUGUUGCUUUAUUAUAUGUAGUAGAUACAUACGCUAGUCAGAAUUACUGUAUUAUCUCUGAACGGGCAGUGUUGGCAUAGUCAUGUUCUCCAUGUUCUCAAUGUUCUCCCUAUUCCUGAAACUUCAUGUCACUUAUGAUGGAACAUUCUAAUAACUUGUCUCUCUCUCUCUCUCUCUCUCCCCUGUAGUAGGCACUAUUGCAUGAAUAGCCUGUUUGAGGCUGUUAUGUUCUACUCGGUCAUAGUAUUACUUUCAGCUUUUUCAAUUACUGUACUGACUUGUUACUAACUUGUCUCUCUUUCUCUCUCCCCUGUAGUAGGCACUGCUGCAUUGAAGACAUGAGAACAGUUAUUGGUAUCAGCGUUGCUGAUAUGUAGUCAUCGGACCGCUUUUUUUUCCGCAAUAUAUAAUAUAAAAGUAUAUACUGUUUGGGUGUGUGUGUGUAUAUACAGUAUGUAUAUGACAGUUACUAAUUUAUUUGACUAACUUGUCUCUCUCUCCCCUGUAGUAGGCACUGCUGCACAAAGAGCUGAGAACAGCAAAGCUCAAAGAUUUGUAUUAGUGGCAGUACAUUUUACACAAUAUAUAACAUGUAUAAAGUGUAUAUGUAUAUGACAGUUACUGAUAACAUUUGACUAACUUGUCUGUCUUUCUCUCCCCUGUAGUAGGCGCUGCUGCGUGAAAAGCAAAGCUCAUAGAUUUGUAGUAGUCGCAGUACUUUUCCGCAAUAUGUCACGUGGAGUCUAUAUAUUGGGGAUGCUCAGCAUAUGAAUAUCCCAGCUGACUUCCUGUGUGGAUAAAAAGCUGAUAGUGUCAGAUUUGUGAUUUGUGUGUUUUACAGCUACAGAGGAGAACAGGUUCAACUCGCAUUCUGAUACCAACUGCAGGACAUGACAGAAAAGGGAAAGGACAAUCCUUUACACAAACAUUUCCCGGACGUGUUAAUACUUCCUGUUCCUGUUUUAAUACGUAGUUACCUACCACAUACAUAUGUUCACUAUGCCUUUUUGUUCUCAAGCGUUUGCACCUUUAUGUAUAAAGACCAUUAUUAUGCAUAAUCAUGCUGUACCAAACAUUUUUCUAUUGUAACCUGAACGGUCGAGACAGACGGCUGCCCCACUGAGCCUGGGUUCUGUCCAAGGUUUCUUCCCAAGUGGGAGUUUUUCCUUGCCUCCGUUGCCAGGUGCUUGCUCAUGUGGGUUUCUGUUGUUCAUUUAUGAUAAACUUGAUAGACCAAACUAAUGAUGAUGAUAAUAAUAAUGUGAACCAAAGUGCCUCGAGAUCACUUGUUUUGUUGUGAGUUGGUGCGAUAUGUCAUUGAACGCUUCUUUUAAUUACUGCUGUUUUUUUUUCUGAAAUAUUUGAUGUGCCUUGGGCCGCUGACCUAAACUGUUGAGUUACAUACGGGACAUGUUGCCUUGCUACAUGAAGUGUUUGUCAUUGAUUUUAUCUUUCUAUAUUACAGAAUAUUAUACAUCACAAUACUGUUCAUAACUGGUGUAAUUGUUGACAUUUUGACUUCAAGAAUUUAAGGCUUUGUUGCAUCUUGCUGUGGUUCCUUUUU